AAAAUAGUAGUAUAGUAGUAUUUUUUCCU
This 29-nucleotide transfer RNA is filed under the name Dreissena polymorpha. RNAcentral describes it as "tRNA-Gly". Lineage: Eukaryota; Metazoa; Mollusca; Bivalvia; Myida; Dreissenidae. The record is from RNAcentral.